GACGAACGCUGGCGGCGUGCCUAAUACAUGCAAGUCGAACGCUGAAGGCGGAGCUUGCUUCUCUGGAUGAGUUGCGAACGGGUGAGUAACGCGUAGGUAACCUGCCUGGUAGCGGGGGAUAACUAUUGGAAACGCUAGCUAAUACCGCAUAAUAGUAGAUGUUGCAUGACAUUUGCUUAAAAGGUUCAAUUGCAUCACUACCAGAUGGACCUGCGUUGUAUUAGCUAGUUGGUGGGGUAACGGCUCACCAAGGCGACGAUACAUAGCCGACCUGAGAGGGUGAUCGGCCACACUGGGACUGGGACACGGCCCAGACUCCUGCGGGAGGGAGCCGUAGGGAAUUUUCGGCAAUGGACGGAAGUGUGAACGGGGAACGCCGCGUGAAUGAAGGAGGUUGUCGGAUCGUAAAGCUCUGUUGUAAGAGAAGAACGAGUGUGAGAGUGGAAAGUUCACACUGUGACGGUAUCUUACCAGAAAGCGACGGCUAACUACGUG
RNAcentral lists this ribosomal RNA (495 nucleotides) under uncultured bacterium. Its description in RNAcentral is "partial 16S ribosomal RNA". It matches the Rfam family "Bacterial small subunit ribosomal RNA", at positions 28 to 507 of the family's 1533-position model. The record is from RNAcentral.